This 2772-nucleotide ribosomal RNA is filed under the name Escherichia coli. RNAcentral's name for it is "partial 23S ribosomal RNA". It matches the Rfam family "Bacterial large subunit ribosomal RNA". Lineage: Bacteria; Pseudomonadati; Pseudomonadota; Gammaproteobacteria; Enterobacterales; Enterobacteriaceae. The record is from RNAcentral.
AAACCCAGUGUGUUUCGACACACUAUCAUUAACUGAAUCCAUAGGUUAAUGAGGCGAACCGGGGGAACUGAAACAUCUAAGUACCCCGAGGAAAAGAAAUCAACCGAGAUUCCCCCAGUAGCGGCGAGCGAACGGGGAGGAGCCCAGAGCCUGAAUCAGUGUGUGUGUUAGUGGAAGCGUCUGGAAAGGCGCGCGAUACAGGGUGACAGCCCCGUACACAAAAAUGCACAUAUUGUGAGCUCGAUGAGUAGGGCGGGACACGUGGUAUCCUGUCUGAAUAUGGGGGGACCAUCCUCCAAGGCUAAAUACUCCUGACUGACCGAUAGUGAACCAGUACCGUGAGGGAAAGGCGAAAAGAACCCCGGCGAGGGGAGUGAAAAAGAACCUGAAACCGUGUACGUACAAGCAGUGGGAGCCUCUUAAUGGGGUGACUGCGUACCUUUUGUAUAAUGGGUCAGCGACUUAUAUUCUGUAGCAAGGUUAACCGAAUAGGGGAGCCGAAGGGAAACCGAGUCUUAACUGGGCGUUAAGUUGCAGGGUAUAGACCCGAAACCCGGUGAUCUAGCCAUGGGCAGGUUGAAGGUUGGGUAACACUAACUGGAGGACCGAACCGACUAAUGUUGAAAAAUUAGCGGAUGACUUGUGGCUGGGGGUGAAAGGCCAAUCAAACCGGGAGAUAGCUGGUUCUCCCCGAAAGCUAUUUAGGUAGCGCCUCGUGAAUUCAUCUCCGGGGGUAGAGCACUGUUUCGGCAAGGGGGUCAUCCCGACUUACCAACCCGAUGCAAACUGCGAAUACCGGAGAAUGUUAUCACGGGAGACACACGGCGGGUGCUAACGUCCGUCGUGAAGAGGGAAACAACCCAGACCGCCAGCUAAGGUCCCAAAGUCAUGGUUAAGUGGGAAACGAUGUGGGAAGGCCCAGACAGCCAGGAUGUUGGCUUAGAAGCAGCCAUCAUUUAAAGAAAGCGUAAUAGCUCACUGGUCGAGUCGGCCUGCGCGGAAGAUGUAACGGGGCUAAACCAUGCACCGAAGCUGCGGCAGCGACGCUUAUGCGUUGUUGGGUAGGGGAGCGUUCUGUAAGCCUGCGAAGGUGUGCUGUGAGGCAUGCUGGAGGUAUCAGAAGUGCGAAUGCUGACAUAAGUAACGAUAAAGCGGGUGAAAAGCCCGCUCGCCGGAAGACCAAGGGUUCCUGUCCAACGUUAAUCGGGGCAGGGUGAGUCGACCCCUAAGGCGAGGCCGAAAGGCGUAGUCGAUGGGAAACAGGUUAAUAUUCCUGUACUUGGUGUUACUGCGAAGGGGGGACGGAGAAGGCUAUGUUGGCCGGGCGACGGUUGUCCCGGUUUAAGCGUGUAGGCUGGUUUUCCAGGCAAAUCCGGAAAAUCAAGGCUGAGGCGUGAUGACGAGGCACUACGGUGCUGAAGCAACAAAUGCCCUGCUUCCAGGAAAAGCCUCUAAGCAUCAGGUAACAUCAAAUCGUACCCCAAACCGACACAGGUGGUCAGGUAGAGAAUACCAAGGCGCUUGAGAGAACUCGGGUGAAGGAACUAGGCAAAAUGGUGCCGUAACUUCGGGAGAAGGCACGCUGAUAUGUAGGUGAAGCGACUUGCUCGUGGAGCUGAAAUCAGUCGAAGAUACCAGCUGGCUGCAACUGUUUAUUAAAAACACAGCACUGUGCAAACACGAAAGUGGACGUAUACGGUGUGACGCCUGCCCGGUGCCGGAAGGUUAAUUGAUGGGGUUAGCGGUAACGCGAAGCUCUUGAUCGAAGCCCCGGUAAACGGCGGCCGUAACUAUAACGGUCCUAAGGUAGCGAAAUUCCUUGUCGGGUAAGUUCCGACCUGCACGAAUGGCGUAAUGAUGGCCAGGCUGUCUCCACCCGAGACUCAGUGAAAUUGAACUCGCUGUGAAGAUGCAGUGUACCCGCGGCAAGACGGAAAGACCCCGUGAACCUUUACUAUAGCUUGACACUGAACAUUGAGCCUUGAUGUGUAGGAUAGGUGGGAGGCUUUGAAGUGUGGACGCCAGUCUGCAUGGAGCCGACCUUGAAAUACCACCCUUUAAUGUUUGAUGUUCUAACGUUGGCCCGUAAUCCGGGUUGCGGACAGUGUCUGGUGGGUAGUUUGACUGGGGCGGUCUCCUCCUAAAGAGUAACGGAGGAGCACGAAGGUUGGCUAAUCCUGGUCGGACAUCAGGAGGUUAGUGCAAUGGCAUAAGCCAGCUUGACUGCGAGCGUGACGGCGCGAGCAGGUGCGAAAGCAGGUCAUAGUGAUCCGGUGGUUCUGAAUGGAAGGGCCAUCGCUCAACGGAUAAAAGGUACUCCGGGGAUAACAGGCUGAUACCGCCCAAGAGUUCAUAUCGACGGCGGUGUUUGGCACCUCGAUGUCGGCUCAUCACAUCCUGGGGCUGAAGUAGGUCCCAAGGGUAUGGCUGUUCGCCAUUUAAAGUGGUACGCGAGCUGGGUUUAGAACGUCGUGAGACAGUUCGGUCCCUAUCUGCCGUGGGCGCUGGAGAACUGAGGGGGGCUGCUCCUAGUACGAGAGGACCGGAGUGGACGCAUCACUGGUGUUCGGGUUGUCAUGCCAAUGGCACUGCCCGGUAGCUAAAUGCGGAAGAGAUAAGUGCUGAAAGCAUCUAAGCACGAAACUUGCCCCGAGAUGAGUUCUCCCUGAGACUUUAAGUCUCCUGAAGGAACGUUGAAGACGACGACGUUGAUAGGCCGGGUGUGUAAGCGCAGCGAUGCGUUGAGCUAACCGGUACUAAUGAACCGUGAGG